Non-coding RNA from Lactuca sativa (garden lettuce), 2358 nucleotides. The record is from RefSeq and is a predicted model, not a curated record. NCBI's taxonomy places the organism in Eukaryota, Viridiplantae, Streptophyta, Magnoliopsida, Asterales, Asteraceae.
AAAGCCCUAGGGCGUUGGUCGUCAUAGCAGCAUCGCACCACCAUCCAACCUCCGAUCUCGCACGGCCAACUGUCUCCGACCAUCUUCUCCAACCAUUUGGGAGAAGUUGUUUCCAAACGUUUCAAUAUUUCAUUACGUUUGACCAGCUUCUAAACCAAUUUUCCCUUCCAUCUUACGAAGACAUCCUAUUUUUCUUCUUCAGCGAUUCCCCACUUCUCCUCUAAUUACUUUCUCGGCUUCUCCCCUGACUUACAACAAGAAAACCCUAGUUCUUUCCUUUAACUCGUCUUCGCAAAAUCAAGCGCAUACAACCAUCAUCUAUGAGAGUACGUUUGUCUUCUUCCUCUUACAAUCGCUAAGCCCUAACACCGAAAAUUGAAAGUCAAUUGACCCUCCGUUCGAAGGAAAAAGUAAGAAUUUUCCUUUAUUUAUUCCAUUCCGUUACUUUGACCUCAUAUUCUUCUGUUCUUCGUCUUUUUUCUUCAAAAUUAUCAACUCUAGCCCUAUACUGUGUUUUCUUUAAAUGGAGAACCAUUCAAUUUAGGGCUUGAUUGCAAUUUUCUCCACGAAGCCCUUCUUCAGUAGUCAGCUUUUUCAUCUUUUUCUGAAGGACCAAUGCCCUUCUUUAGUGAUUUCAGGAUCCAUGUCCCAUAUGAAGGAACAAUGUUUGAUCUGUUAAGGUCGGAUCCAGAUGAUAGAUGCGGGUAGGGGUUCUCUCCACAUGGGGCUGGAUACACAUUCAGACAAGACAUUGCGUCUCACUUCAACUAUACAAAUGGGCUUACUCUCAUCUCCAGAGCUCACCAGCUUUUCAUGGAGGGUUUCAACUGGUGUCAUGUAUAUUUACUUAAUUAACCCUCCAUCCCUCUAUCCCUCUUUAAUGAUAAUUAUUAGGCUUAUUAAUAAUUUUCUGAUUGAUAUUAGGACAAGAAUGUGGUGACAGUGUUUAGUGCACCAAACUACUACAUGACAGUGUUAAUAUCAGUUUCCCUGUUCUUUUUUAUACUUGAUGCACCUUUGAUGUAUCAAGUUGCCUAUGUUUUCCUUGUCAUAUCUAAUUUUUGGAAGAGUAUGAAACGAGGAAUGGGCAUGGUUAUGUUCUUUAUGCACAGUGCUUCUUACUUCAAAAACAGAGUUGGAUCAGUAUUGGGGGGAGUCGCAAGUCAUGGGGCCCCAACAACACGUAUGACCUCAUUGGCAAGCUGCGUUCUAUUAAGCAUUAUCUUAUUCUGGAUCAGGGUGAUUUCUUGGUUCAUUUUACGGAUAUUGCACUUGAUGAACUUGAUAAAGCACCAAAUGAGAUCUCUGUUGAGAAGCUUCAGUCUUUGUUGGAUCUUGCACUACGUUCAACAGCGGCUGCAGCAGAUCCUUUGCAUGAGGAUGUCACAUGUUCUGUGGCCAGUUUCAUUUAUUCCCAUUACAACAUAACAAUCUACUUCCAUGCAAAAUGACAAAUUUGGACUCAUCUUCUUCAUCUAUGUGGGGAUUUGUGCAGUUAAGUGAGAAGUUGGAUCCUGAAACUAUGAAUUUGAUUGGAGAGGAGUUUAUGAUGGAGGGACUUCUUCUAUCUAAUUCCACUACUUCUACUACUUCAAUAAUAACUGAUUUCUUCCUUGAGCUGGAUGGGCACAACAGCUGCUGAUGUGACUUAGUAGGGUUAAUGGUGUUACUGUCACCUUCCUCUAGGAUCUUCUUAAGUACUUACAUCGUAAAAAUUAGAAAUCAUCUUUUAUCUUUCUUCUUAAAGGAAUCCAAUGUCUUAUCAUCAGGGCUCUCACAAUAAGAGAAAUGCAUGAAAAGUUUCAAAUGGUGGUUGUCCGACAUACCGGCCAUGCGAUCGAGGAGGAUAUUCCUGAUGAGUAUGGAGGUCAUGCAGAAGUUAGAUCACAAUCUUGUGUCAACUACACAAAUGUUGGUGAAAUCACAUGAACAGAUCAUCUACACAAAUGUUGCUCUAGAUCCGUAUUCUUCAGAUGGGCAUGAUGGUAUUGUCAGAGAAGAUGGAGUCAUAAUGAAUGAUGGGAUUGUGCAUCAGUUGUGUAAACAAGCUGUUUCACAGGUAUUUACCAUUUCAACUUAUGACUUUUGACUUCAAGGGUGUUGAUAUUCUCACAAGGUUGACUUUAAGAAGAUUAUGAGUGAUAACUGGGUGGAGCCUCCACAAGUAUCAUAUGGAAACAAAAGAAGCAUACCAAUAAGAAGUAGAAACAAGAAGGUGUUCCUUAAUAGCAAUGUACUAUUAGCUUAUAUAGUUAGAGAAAACCUCUUAAUAACAAUGUACAAUUAGAUCCCCUUAAUAUCAAUGUAUUACAAUUUUUUGACAUGAUGUUAUUGGAUGAUAUUGAUAGUUUUGGUAUA